GUAUAAUGGUGAACUGAGAAAAAGAGUGAAAAAAAGAUGUCCUGCGAAGGAUUAAGACUUGUUGCCAUGGCAUCAGUUAUUACAAGGGGACAUUUUCUUCUCCUUGCAGCAGCCCUCAACCCGACGACGCUUGAGUCUGCAGCUCGCGGCCCAACAAUGCAAACCACGGCAAAGGAGCUGCAAAGAGGAACCAGAGGGUGGGCGCUUUGCUUCUGCGAUGAUGCGGCUUGUCCGGGAGGCGUAAUCAGCGGAAAGCCAGCAAACCGAAGCGGAAGUUUGAACUAGUCAGGGGGGCACCUCACGUUUACUAACAUGCACUAAAAGCAGGCACGACUGGCCAGCUUUAAAAAGGCAAAAGGAAGAUCAGACAACACACAAGAAGCGGGGUGCUGUAUUACCAUAAUGACUUCUUGUGACGAAGAUGUACUCAGCAGCAGUAUGGAAAUGGCACAUGCCAGGGAGCACAUUAUCAGAGCCAAAUGCUUUGGGAUGUCGUUUGUUUGUCCGUCCUCCAGGAUCCUCAGUCUGUCUGCCGCUCCCUGCCUGGAUUUCUCCGCCUGGAUUUCCCUGCCAUUCCACUGUCUCCAUAGCUGUGUCCCUGGCAAUAAACCAGUUUCCCCCGG
Gasterosteus aculeatus aculeatus (three-spined stickleback) is the source of this 623-nucleotide long non-coding RNA. NCBI's taxonomy places the organism in Eukaryota, Metazoa, Chordata, Actinopteri, Perciformes, Gasterosteidae. The record is from Ensembl.